RNAcentral lists this unclassified non-coding RNA (361 nucleotides) under Zea mays. RNAcentral describes it as "misc RNA Zm00001eb435810". The record is from RNAcentral. Lineage: Eukaryota; Viridiplantae; Streptophyta; Magnoliopsida; Poales; Poaceae.
UUAACAUCUUCUGGAACCUUUCUGGAACGAAUCAUCUUUUCUGGGAAGAUGGAACAUUUUGGUGUAAUGUACCCGGGGUUUUUUUCGGAAAACCAUAUGGUUCUUUAUGGAUCCUCUUAUGCAUUAUGUUCGAUAUCAAGGAAAGGCAAUUCUUGCAUCAAAAGGCACUCUUCUUUUGAAGAAGAAAUGGAAAUCUUACCUUGUCAAUUUCUCGCAAUAUUUUUUCUCUUUUUGGACUCAACCACAAAGGAUUCGUCUAAACCAAUUAACAAACUCUUGCUUCGAUUUUCUGGGGUACCUUUCAAGUGUACCAAUAAAUACUUUGUUAGUAAGGAAUCAAAUGCUGGAGAAUUCUUUUCUA